This is a long non-coding RNA of Arachis stenosperma, 1220 nucleotides long. RefSeq lists it as uncharacterized. The record is from RefSeq and is a predicted model, not a curated record. The transcript is spliced from 4 exons. Lineage: Eukaryota; Viridiplantae; Streptophyta; Magnoliopsida; Fabales; Fabaceae.
AGUAGUUCCUCUUCACACGCACAUACACAAUUAAAAGCCCUAACCUUUAUCCCCUUCCAAACGGCGACAAUAGGUUAGAAGCGUUCAAUCGCGCACACUCCUCCACGCACGGCGACGGCGCAGUGCUCUUCUCGACGAGCAAUGGUGCAGUGCUCUCCACAAUCCCUAACAUAGCCACUGCAACAACGCACCCUUUCUCCCCUUCCUAACGGCGACAUCAGCGUUCAAUCGCGGUGCACUCCUCCACGUACGGCGACGGCGCGGUGCUAUUCUCGACGGGUGAUGGCGGGGUACUCUCCACAAGCCCUAACAUAGCCACUGGAACAACACACAGACCCUUUCUCCCCUUCCUAACGGCGACAGCAAUGCUCAAUCAUGGUGCUCUCCUUGAUGAGCGCGGUGCUCAAUCGCAAGAAACCCUUCUUCCUUCUCUUCUCCUUCUCGUUCUUCCUCUGUUCCUCUCUUUCCAGGCAAUUAUAAACUGGACAAUAAUGGAUCUUUCUACAUUAAAAACUUUAGCAAGACUUCAAUGUUGGUGAAUAACAAAGAAGUGCAGACUGGUCAGUCUCAAAAACUACACUCUAAUUGUUUGAUCGAGCUGCCAUUACUACAGAAGCUUCUGCUAAGGUGAUUGAUGGGAAGUCAGUGGCAAAGCAAAUCAGAUCUGAGAUAACAGCAGAAGUUUGUAGGAUGAGAUGCUAUCGGAGUGACUCCUGGGUUGGAGAUAGGAAAGACUCUGCAACUUAUUUGCACAAGAAGGAGGCUUGUGAAUCUAUGGGAAUCAUUUCUUUUGAAGCUAAUUUGCCCAAGGAUUCCACAGAACAACAAGUGUGAUCCUUCGGUUCAUGGCGUUCUUUACCCUCUGUGACACAACCAACAAAAUUAGGACCUAUAACGUUGCCUUGUGUGCCAAGUUUCACAAUAUACCUUUUUAUGUGGCUGCACUGCUGACUUCAAUUGAUCUGUCACUUUCUUUCGGAGAAGAAAUCGUAAUCGAUGAGAGAUCUCCAAAGGAGUUGUUGAACACGCGAGGAGGACUUGGAGAGCAAGUUGCUGCCUUGGGAUAAAUGUUAAAGAAAUUUUGUUCAUAUUGAGAAAAACAUGUAUUUUAUUUACUUAUGUGUAUUAUUUAUUUGACUUGGUAACUUAGCAAGUAUGUUAAUUGACACUUGGAACACCUUUCUACAUACAUGCAAUAUAUAUAUUAUUAGCUUAUUCUA